UCCACUUCUCGGAGUUGCUGCUGGAAAUUACGAGGGCAAGCCUCGUAAAAGCGGCCGUUUUGGUUGGAGUAGCGAGGGGUUUGGCUCAAUAAGUUGAAGGCGUAUCCCUCGCUACCUUUCCCCCUUGGUGAAGUAGCUCCUUGGCUCAAUGCCCUUAUUUGUUCUUGGCUGGCUUUACGGAACAUUCCCUGUCCCUGCUGCCUUCGAUGGCUUUGCCUCCCACCAAACAGCUCGUCUAGCAGCUCACUUCGUGUCUAAUACGACAAAACAUGAAUGAAUCAAUGAAUAAUUGAAUUUUAUUUAAAAAAACAAAAAAUAAUAAUUAGUUCAAAGAAUAAUACAUUGAAGACAGCCUCAAGAAUUUCACGGCUGAAGAUUCGUAAGUAUGACUGAGGAUUUUCCUGUCCAGCAGGGAAGAAUUUCUGCAGCAAAAUACAGAUAAAAGGGGUUAAUAACUUUAUAUAUUACUAAUAAGUUUCUGAAUGUUUUAAAGGUAAAAUACCUGGAAUUGUCCAGGGUUAUUGACAGGUCGGUGGAGCACUGCUAUGGUUAGCUUUUCCCUGUUGUCUUGGUUCGCCAAGUACACAGUGCUUCCUGCUGGAAUUCUUACUACAACUCCAGGAACUACAUUGUAUGACUCUUUGUUUUCAUGUGUCACGAACGUAAUUGUUCCUCUUCCUGAGAAAGUAAAUAAUUUACCAUGUUUUAGUUAAUGGUGAUAUAUUAUAUAUGUUAAUAAAAGGGAAGAGCAAAAAUAGAGUAUUCACCGUUAGUGACAACGUAAAUUUUCUCCGCGUCACAAUGGUGUGGGAGAACGAAAGUGUUGGGGUUUGCUUCUAAAAUGGCAAUGCGGAACUCGUUGAUGCCCCUAAGUAAAUGAUGUUUGUCAGCAAACCUCUGGAGGACUCUGAAAUUGCCAUGUUCUUCCCUGAAUCGUUCUUGGAACGAUCUGCGAUGGAAGUAGUAAGGGUUGUUCCUUUGUUGUUGCUCUCCUUCGUCACUUUCCUCUUCUUCUUCUUCUCUCCACUUGUUUUCUCUCUCUCCCUUCCAUGGAUCCUCUUGGUACUGUUCCCUGCAUUCCUUCACACAUUGUUGCUUCCGUUCGGGCCUUUGCUCUUGCCAUUGGCAACGCUGUUGACACUCCUUGAAUCGCUUGUCAGGCUGCUGCUGCUGCUGUUUCUCGUAUUGUUCCCGGCAGCUUUGUUCGCAAUGUGGACGCAGCCUUCUUUCUUCCUGUUGGCAGUGUUGUCGGCAAUCCUGGUAUCUCCUCUGAGGAUCUUCUCCGUCACGCUGCUGCUCCUCCUUAAACUGCGUUUCACACCUGUCUUCACACUUGUCUUGCUCCGUUUGUCCACGUGUCUCCAAUUGGCAUCGCUUCCGGCAGUCCUCGUACCUCUGUUGAGGAUCAUCCUCGCUUCUUCUGCCGGGGAAGUCUUUGGCAGAGCAAAGCAAGCCAAAGGAAAGGAAAAGAGAAAAGAGCAAAACUACGAAAACUGACUUGUUCCUCACCAUGAUUACUAUAAGCUCUGUAUUUUUUAGUGCACGAUGGUAAUGGCAAAGACCGGUAAUGUAUUUAUGGAAGGUGGAACUGUGGAAGGUGAUGUUUUUGCAUGCAAAUCUCCAUAAACGUGUUGAAGACAUUGACAUGCAAGGUGACGAGUGUGCAAAUUAAAGAAGACAAAAUAUUUUGAGUCUUUUUUUAUCGAGAUGCCACAUCCCUUCACGUGGUACGGUCAGGAUUCGGACAAGCUUUGUUGCAGAGGGGAAUCAUGGUUGUAUCUGUAACUGGAAGUGGCGAAGUGAUAAUGCUUUGACAGUAGAGUGGUGGACCGAGUUGUCCUUUGUGUCAACUCGGGUGAGUUUAAAGAGUGUAAAAAGUGGGAUGUGGCUGUUUUAUGAGGUGAAUUAGAGACGAGUUGAUGUCCCGAUUCACUGAGUUUUAAGGUUGAGUUGGUUUUUAUCUGCACUUGGGCAGAAUGGAGGACAGCUCAAGUGUACACAUGUUGCUGUGCAUGGUGAUGACUGAUGAGUUGCUUGAGAUAUGAACGAAUUAAGACAUGUACAUAGAUACUAUUUGAAUUUGAUAUAAUCUAAUUGUAUAAAUUCAUGCUACUGAAAUUUAAAAACUAAGAUAACAUGUCACAUGUUGAAAAAUAAAAAUGAAUUUUAAAAUGAAGGCAUGCUUAUACCUGGUUUUUUUAGUUGGGUGAGAGAAGUUAUGAGUAGAAUAAAGAUUAUAUUAAAAUAAAUUUUAAAAUUAUUAUUGAAAUUUUAAAUUUAUUCAUUAAAUAUGUUAGAAAAUAUAAUUUGUAAAAAAGGUUAAAUAUUGAUGGCUAAAAAAGACUCAAAAAUAUAAUUAAAGUUAUUUUAACAAAACAUACAAAUAUUAAUAGCCAAAUUUAUGAAAAAGUCAUAAUGGUUUCUUUUAAUGUUACAAGUUCAAUGUCACUUUAGCCAUCUCAUGGAGCUAAUCAACCGCGCAAUACAUGAUCAUAAUGCCUACAACGGGGCCUUGCAGACGAAUGGCACCUUACAGACUACCUCGCGAACAGAAUCAACGGUUCACACAACAAAAUAUCUCGAUUCACAACACAUCUCCUCAAGACAGAAAUUAUCCCACAUACCACCUAACAUUCUCCUUCAAAUACAAUCACCAAGAUUCACCGUACGGCGCAGCAGCAUCACUUACCACUGACAGCCCUUAUCCACUAACUUUUGCUACGUCCUUACAACACUUCAACCAAACUCACUGCAAAUUACUAUUUAUCAGACAAUUACCAUGUCAUCUCCAACGGCUCCGGUUUUCAACAUGUUUGUAUACCCCCCAAACAGGAAGCGGCGCAGGUACCUCCUUGGCCAAGUUUAUGUCCAUUGGAAGUUACAAUCAAUACUCGCAGAUAUCAAACACCUGCAAAACGGGAUCUGAUUAUACGUACAAGAGGAACGAUACCCACUCCAUGCAACAGUCAACAGGUUGGCAUACGUAGCCUGGAACUUGUUUCUUUGACUUGAAGUUUACCAAAAAAAUUAUACCACUUUAACUAUAUAUUAAAAGAAUUUGAUUCACGAUUUGUUUAAAUUUUUUAUAAAUGAGAAUGAGAAUAAAGUUGUUUGAGAUCGAUUUUAACCUUUAAUAUUUACAAUAUAAUGUUUUUGUUACUAGGUCUAGAGGUUGCUGACAAAAUAACUUAUUUAAUUAAAUGUCAUUUUGCUUAGCAAUGCAAGUUCAUUUUCAUUACAAAAAGGAAAUAUUUUCUCUUGAUAUUAUACCAUAUCUUGAACAUGAAAGUUAGUGAAAAUUAAACUUGUUUAAUUAAAUCAAUUUUAUAUAUAUAAGAAAAGAAAGAAAGGCAAAAGUGAUGAAUAAAAAAACUUCAAUGGAGCAUUGGGGAUAAUAAAAGAAAUAUAUAUCUUAAAGCAAGGUUAAUUUUGUAAUAAUAAACACUAGUUAACCCAUUGGAGCAUUUACCUUCGUUGCAUUUGAUAAAACUCACCUCACUGGUGAAAUUCGAGGGGAGCUAAAACCUCCGGUUGGAAUUUUUUUUGUUCAGAAAGUUGUGCUACAGACAAGCAGAUUGGAGGGAUUAUUGUUGUACCCAAAAUAUGUGGGUUUAGACCUAGAGUCAUAACCACCGGCUGAAGUCCAAAUAGCAAUAAAAGGCUCAAGCAAUAAGCAGGCUAGCCAAUUACGAAAUGACCCAUAAAGGGUUACUUGCUCAUUUAAUGAAAACGAACCUGACCUUACCCCUGUAGAGCUUGAGAGUUGGUAUAAGCAUCCUCCUUAUGUCUUCAUGCAAGAAGCUUUUCAUAAGCUCCAUUCGACUUAAACUCAAGCUGUUGAACAAGAUAGAACAGGGAUCUAACAACCCUAAAAUAGAAUGUAGCUAAUUCACCAAUCAAAUAUAAUGGUUAGAUCUAAACAUGAGAUCGGGUAGCUCCACAAAAAUAUUACAAAAUCCAUAAAUGCUCACUAUCAAACAUUAUAAAAAUUUAUCCUUUCUCAAGGUUGAAAAUUUUGGUAUUAGUAUAAUUUUUAGAGACAUUAACAACAUCAAAUGACAUAAUACUAAUUACUUAAGUACUUAACAUUUUAUUCCUUAACAUAGAAAGACAAAAAAACGCACUCAAAAGUUCAUACAAGUUAUUGCACUACAAAACAAGGGUCUCCUCCUUUACAUAGGUCACCAUUUUUAUUUCAUUACAUGCCUGCUUAAAACUAGAAAAUUUCACAUUAGUCCAUAAACACGAGACUAUGUGAUUAUUAUUGCCUUUUAACUCUUUAUUCAGAUGCACGCUGCCUCUGUCGAGACACGAAGUAAGACUCUUGUGGGUUGUUGUUGAAUAUCUCAUCCACCAACCUCGAUGACACCCCAAAGGCCAACUCCUUGGCUUGGCUAUCCCAUUGUCUCACAUGGUUGAUUUUCCCAGCCACGAAGAUCCUCUGGUUAUGGUCUGGGUUAAUGUUCUGGUUGUAAAGACCGAACCCAGUCAUCCUCAGGUUCUGGUUUUGGGAUGCAACGAAUGUAACUGGAAAGUUUGCUGGGACUACAAAUAUGUCUCCACGCGACAACCGGGACCUUAUUUUCCUGUAUUGUCCACUUCUCCUUUCCUCUUCUUGUUCUUGUUCUUGUUCUUCUUCUUGUUCUUCUUCUUCUUCAUAUGAGCUUUGCCUAGGAAGAUGAGGAGAAACCAUUUCAGCGUAUCCAUUUCCUUCGGUAACAAGGAUCACGAAUGUAGCCUUUGAAUUGUAGUGCGGCACAAAGAUUGAUCCCUACAAAAAAAGGAUUUGAUUUUGGUUAGUAUAAUGAUGGAAAUUAGAGGGAAAAUAAAGGGUGGUUUGGUUUUAAGUACUUGGUUUAAUUGCAAGGCUGAAACGGUGACAUUGAUGUCCCUGAGUUGCCGGAAUUCACGUGGGCAAGCCUCGAAGAAGCGGCCGUUUUGGUUGGAGUAGCGAGGGGUUUGGCUCAAUAAGUUGAAGGCGAAUCUCUCGCCACUUUUCUCCCUUGGUGAAGUGGCUUCUUGGCUCAAUGCCCUUAUUUGUUCCUGGCUGGCUUUACGGAACAUUCCCUGUCCCUGCUGCCUUCGACGGCUUUGCCUCCCACCAAACAGCUCGUCUAGCUGCUCACUUCGUGUCUAAUACAACACAACAUGAAUGAAUCAAUGAAUAAUCAAGUUUUAUUAAAAAAAAGUUGAUUAAUUAGUUCAAAGAGC
RNAcentral lists this long non-coding RNA (5211 nucleotides) under Gossypium raimondii (Peruvian cotton). RNAcentral's name for it is "long non-coding RNA (GRAI_LNC005014)". Lineage: Eukaryota; Viridiplantae; Streptophyta; Magnoliopsida; Malvales; Malvaceae. The record is from RNAcentral.